GGGCCGUUAGCUCAGUUGGUAGAGCGCUACAUUCGCAUUGUAGAGGUCGUGGGUUCGAUUCCCACACGGUCCACCA
This 76-nucleotide transfer RNA is filed under the name candidate division WWE3 bacterium RIFCSPHIGHO2_01_FULL_42_13. Its description in RNAcentral is "tRNA-Ala". It matches the Rfam family "tRNA". From Rfam's summary of the family: Transfer RNA (tRNA) molecules are approximately 80 nucleotides in length. Their secondary structure includes four short double-helical elements and three loops (D, anti-codon, and T loops). Further hydrogen bonds mediate the characteristic L-shaped molecular structure. tRNAs have two regions of fundamental functional importance: the anti-codon, which is responsible for specific mRNA codon recognition, and the 3' end, to which the tRNAs corresponding amino acid is attached (by aminoacyl-tRNA synthetases). tRNAs cope with the degeneracy of the genetic code in two manners: having more than one tRNA (with a specific anti-codon) for a particular amino acid; and 'wobble' base-pairing, i.e. permitting non-standard base-pairing at the 3rd anti-codon position. The record is from RNAcentral. Lineage: Bacteria; candidate division WWE3.